Molecule: long non-coding RNA, 450 nt
Organism: Leopardus geoffroyi (Geoffroy's cat)
Lineage: Eukaryota; Metazoa; Chordata; Mammalia; Carnivora; Felidae
Exons: 2
Source: RefSeq, a predicted model, not a curated record
GAAAGAAUUGUUGAAAAGAGUUUUCUCACACAUGAAAAGGCAACGAAGCUCACAACAUUGAUUACAUUUCAUGAUUUUUUGGACCUAGGUAUUGAAAUACCUGAAAAGAAGCUGUUUGUAAAUACGUAUGAUCCUUUUUUCCUACUAACAGACAAAUCAGUGAUAUAAACCCUUGAUAAAAAUAAAAUUUUAAUUUUAAAUCAGAUUAGUGAGAUGCUAGCCCCAACCCUAGAAAAAAAUAUGUCUUUAAGAAAAAUAUGUCUUUAAGAAAAAGGUAGUUGCUUUUUAAAUUUAAUCAUUUAGAGAAAUACAUGAAAAUCCUCAAAUCUUCUAGUCCUCUCUCAAUCCCAAAUGUGGCAGUGUAACAUCUUGAUCCACUGCUCUCUGUACUCUUCCAGGUCACCAAUUAAAAAAAAAAAGAUGCUCCAAAUAGCACAAAGAUGUACCUAU